GGGAUUUUUUUUUUUCUUUUUUUUUCUUUUUUUCCUUUUUUUUUUCUUUUCAAAUUUUCCAUUUUAAGUUGGUUAUUUCUGAUUAAUAUUUAAAAGCAAAUAAUAAUGAUAUGGUAGGAGAUACACACCAAACAGGAUGUGUGAAUUAUUAAUUAAUAAGUAUUGUGCAAUAGCAAGAAAUUUUCAAUUGCACAGUAUUGCACAAUUGCAAGAAAUCUUCAAUUGCACAGUAUUGCGCAAUAGCAAGAAAUCUUCAAUUGCACAGUAUUGCGCAAUAGCAAGAAAUAUCCAAUAGCACAAUAUUGCGCAAUAGCAAGAAAUUGUCAAUUGUACAGUAUUGCACAAUAGCAAGAAAUAUUCAAUUGCACAGUAUUGUGCAAAAGAAGAUACUUCGUAUAAAUUGCUUAUUUCUUGAUCAAUUUCAAUGGGGUUUUAUUCUUGAAUCCUUGGGGUUCUUUAAUAUGCUGAAUCUAACCGUGUAUUAAGUUUUUGGAUUUUGGGCCCCGUUUUUAAAUUGGUCUACAUUAAGGUCAAAAGGGUCCAAAAUUAAACUUAGUUUGAUUUUAACAAAAAUUGAAUUUUUAGGGUACUUUGAUAUGCUGAAUCUAAACAUGUAUUUAGAUUUUUGAUUAUGGGCCCAGUUUUCAAGUUGGUCCAAAUCGGGGUCCAAAAUUAAACUUUGUUUGAUUUCAACAAAAAUUGAAUAUAUGGGGUUCUUUGAUAUGCUGAAUCUAACCAUGUAUUUAGAUUUUUGAUUUUUGGGCCCCGUUAUCAACUUUGUCCACAUUGAGGUCAAAAGGGUUCAAAAUUAAACUUUGUUUGAUUUCAUCAAAAAUUGAAUUCUUGGGGUUCUUUGAUAUGCUGAAUCUAACCAUGUAUUUAGAUUUUUUAUUUGUGGACCCGCUAUCAAAUUGGUUCAUAUUGAGGUCAAAAGGGUCCAAAAUUAAACUUUGUUUGAUUUCAUCAAAAAUUGAAUUAUUGGGGUUCUUUGAUAUGCCAAAUCUAACCGUGUAUUUAGAUUUUUAAUUUUGGGUCCCAUUUUUUAAAUUGGUCUACAUUAAGGUCCAAAGGGUCCAAAAUUAAACUUAGUUUGAUUUUAACAAAAAUUGAAUUUUUGGGGUUCUUUGAUAUGCUGAAUCUAAACAGGUGUUUAGAUUUUUGAUUAUGGGACCAGUUUUCAAGUUGGUCCAAGUUGGGGUCCAAAAUUAAACUUUGUUUGAUUUCAACAAAAAUUGAAUAUAUGGGGUUCUUUGAUAUGCUGAAUCUAAACAUGUAUUUAGAUUUUAGAUUUUUGGCCCAGUUUUCAAGUUGGUCCAAAUUGGGGUCCAAAAUUAAAUUUUGUUUGAUUUCAACAAAAAUUGAAUAUAUGGGGUUCUUUGAUAUGCUGAAUCUAACCAUGUAUUUUGAUUUUGGACAUUGGACCAUAAUAGGUAAAUUAAAAAAAUUGAAGUUCUUAGACCACAUUCUUUCUGUGUCAGAAACCUAUGCUGUGUCAAAUAUUUAAUCACAAUCCAAAUUCAGAGCUGUAUCAAGCUUGAAUGUUGUGUCCAUACUUGCCCAAACUGUUCAGGGUUCGACCUCUGCGGUCGUAUCAAGCUGCGCCCAGCGAAGCAUUUUAUUAGUAACUUGAGAUGAAAGUUAUAAUGGCUAUUUAUUUCUUUGAAUGUUUAAUGAAUAAGACCAUUAUUUCUAAUUAUAAUACCUUUAGUAUCAUAUGAAACAUCAUCUGGUAUGUAUGUCCUUACAAAACCACUCGUAUGAAUAUAGAGUUGGAUAAUAAAAUAAUGAUAGGCAACCCAACAAUGCAACUUUACAGAAAAAUGACAUCUAAAAGCCACCAUAAGGCAAUAACAAUGGGCAAAGAUUUAAUACCACACUGCAUUGAGUCAUCGUGAGGUAGAACACGUCCAAGUAUCAAUCACAAAAUGCCUUAUAGAUUUGAUAAAUAACGAAUUAUUUUAGUUUGUAAUUGUUGAUAAUUGUUUCAGACAGAUAAAUGAAAGUUUAAAUUUAUUUUUCAUAAUUGCUGACUCAUUGCUAAAUUAGCCAGGCUUCUUUUAUAGUAGAUAAGUGCUUUACAAAAUAUAAUCCUUUAAAGAAUAAUUAUAAAAAUUUGAGAAUACUUAUACAAUUAACCUGAAAAAAAGAGAUGAUGUGUGAAAGAUGCUCUAUGCUGGGAAUUUAUUUGAUGAAAUCUCUGAAGAGAAAACAGUAUAGUGAUAUCCCAUCAGAAUCCAAAAAAUUUCCUUAUGUGAAUAAAAUAUAACUUCUUGUUAUUGAUACACAGGUAACAGGUAUGUUGUUUGUUACUAGGUCUGUUGUUGGUUUGUUAUUUACCAUUAUUGUUGUGUACCCUGUGUUCUGUAAAGUUUCAAGUCUAUAAAUAGAAAGGUGACAUAUGAUGAUUAUAGAUGCCACUGGUUGGUUUUGUUUGAUGAUAUAUUACAUAUAUUUUGGACAGGAAUAAAUUAUCAUUAUAUCAUGAA
Molecule: long non-coding RNA, 2486 nt
Organism: Mytilus californianus (California mussel)
Lineage: Eukaryota; Metazoa; Mollusca; Bivalvia; Mytilida; Mytilidae
Exons: 2
Source: RefSeq, a predicted model, not a curated record